AGGAUACCUUUCCUUGAAUAUAACAUAAUGAUAUCUUUGGCUUUCUAGCAUUUUGUGACUUCCUUACUCUCUCAUCAUACUACAUUAAAGCUCCACAAUAUUCACAUGGCCAUGUUUGAUCUUUGAUAUCCCAAUAAUCUAUAAUGAAUAAAAUAAGCGAUGUGAUAAUAAGUGUGACUUUCUAACAUGGAAAGUCGGAAAGUGUAAUUUUUUUUUAUAAAUUUUGAUCAUAUACACUUUCAAUAUUUGACUUUCUGAUACUAGUAUUAACCAUAUUCAGAGAACUCAUUCCUG
Molecule: long non-coding RNA, 294 nt
Filed under: Elaeis guineensis (African oil palm)
Lineage: Eukaryota; Viridiplantae; Streptophyta; Magnoliopsida; Arecales; Arecaceae
Description: long non-coding RNA (EGUI_LNC004314)
Source: RNAcentral